CGCUCGAACCAUCAAUCUGUAAGGUUCUUUCUGUAGAUGUAUCCCCAGGGGGUAAGUGCAAUGGUAUCACCUGAAUACGUGCUCCAGUCCUAGCUUGCAUACUUUUGAUUGUCUCACCACCUUUACCAAUGACCAAGCCAACCUUAUUAUUAGGAAUUUUCAUAACAAACUGCUCAGAUCCUGAAGGGCCUGUUAAUCUUCGUGAUACUAUGCCAGAACCUCCAGAUUCAGCCUCAGAAAGAACAUCAUUUAUCAGCUGCUCGGCCUUAGCAAUUUGAUCCGGGGUACCCAUUAGCUCAACCAUACGGGUAGUAGAAUUGGGAUCUGCGUCCAUGUCACGAGUAACUUGUAUUUUUGCCCCAGACUGGAGCUGAAGGUACUUGAUGGUCUCACCACCUUUCCCAAUAAUUACGCCUACUCUCCCAUUUGGAAUCUCAAUUUUCUUGCUUGACCCUUGGAAACCGUAGGAAACAGGUAUUGCUGAAGAGGCUGAACUUGACAUGUGAGACUUCAGGUCUGGACCAGAACUAAAACCCUUGUCGUAGGAAUCAAACCCGCCGCCGUUCUCAACCCUCGGACGUUUGACAUCAGCUCCAACGCCAGGUCCAGCACCGGCCCCGACGCCACCACUGGAGAUAAUCAGGCGAGAGGCAAUCUCCUGAGCACGCUGCUUAGCGAGCUGGAUCUCAUCCAUAGGGGGCGGGACGUUGUUG
RNAcentral lists this unclassified non-coding RNA (713 nucleotides) under Hevea brasiliensis (rubber tree). The record is from RNAcentral. Lineage: Eukaryota; Viridiplantae; Streptophyta; Magnoliopsida; Malpighiales; Euphorbiaceae.